CCUACGGGAGGCAGCAGUGAGGAAUAUUGGGCAAUGGGCGGAAGCCUGACCCAGCAACGCCGCGUGAAGGAUGAAGGCCUUCGGGUUGUAAACUUCUUUUAUGGGGGAAGAGAGAGGACGGUACCCCAGGAAUAAGUCACGGCUAACUACGUGCCAGCAGCCGCGGUAAU
This 170-nucleotide ribosomal RNA is filed under the name uncultured bacterium. RNAcentral describes it as "partial 16S ribosomal RNA". It matches the Rfam family "Bacterial small subunit ribosomal RNA", at positions 338 to 524 of the family's 1533-position model. The record is from RNAcentral.